CCUACGGGGGGCAGCAGUGGGGAAUAUUGCGCAAUGGGCGAAAGCCUGACGCAGCGACGCCGCGUGAGGGAUGAAGGUCUUCGGAUCGUAAACCUCUGUCAGCAGGGAAGAACGGUCACUGUGCUAAUCAGCAGUGAAUUGACGGUACCUGCAAAGGAAGCCCCGGCUAACUACGUGCCAGCAGCCGCGGUAAUACGUAGGGGGCAGGCGUUAUCCGGAUUUACUGGGUGUAAAGGGAGCGUAGACGGCGGUGCAAGUCUGGAGUGAAAGGCAGGGGCCCAACCCCUGGACUGCUCUGGAAACUG
Molecule: ribosomal RNA, 305 nt
Filed under: uncultured bacterium
Lineage: Bacteria
Description: bacterial SSU rRNA
Rfam family: Bacterial small subunit ribosomal RNA
Source: RNAcentral